CUCAGUGGUCAGGAUGAUUAUUGGGCCUAAAGCAUCCGUAGCCGGCUCUGUAAGUUUUCGGUUAAAUCUAUGCGCUCAACGUAUGGGCUGCCGAAAAUACUGCAGAGAUAGGGAGUGGGAGAGGUAGACGGUACUCGGUAGGAAGGGGUAAAAUCCUUUGAUCUAUCGAUGACCACCUGUGGCGAAGGCGGUCUACCAGAACACGUUCGACGGUGAGGGAGAAAGCA
RNAcentral lists this ribosomal RNA (227 nucleotides) under uncultured marine group I thaumarchaeote. RNAcentral's name for it is "partial 16S ribosomal RNA". It matches the Rfam family "Archaeal small subunit ribosomal RNA", at positions 484 to 712 of the family's 1478-position model. Lineage: Archaea; Thermoproteati; Nitrososphaerota. The record is from RNAcentral.